RNAcentral lists this ribosomal RNA (1811 nucleotides) under Ceratocombus sp. RNAcentral describes it as "SSU rRNA". It matches the Rfam family "Eukaryotic small subunit ribosomal RNA". The record is from RNAcentral. Lineage: Eukaryota; Metazoa; Arthropoda; Insecta; Hemiptera; Ceratocombidae.
UUAAGUACAACUAAAUUAAAGUCAAACCGCAAAAUGCUCAUUAAAUCAGUCACGGUUUACUAGAACUAAUAUAUCUUUUUUUUUUUGAUAAAUGGAUAACUGUGGUAAUUCUAAAGCUAAUACUUGCAAUAAAGUUUUAUACAGGGAUGGAUAAAACGCUUUUAUUAAAUCAAAACCAAUCGAUCAACUUGUUUGUUUCGUUUGAAUUUUGGGGAUUCUGAAUAACACCGUAAAUCACACAGUCAUUGUACUGGGGACGUAUCUUUCAAAUGCCUGACUUAUCACACUUUCGAUGGUAAAUUCUAUGUCUACCAUGGUUGUAACGGGUGACGGGGAAUCAGGGUUCGAUUCCGGAGAGGGAGCCUGAAAAACAGCUACCACAUCCAAGGAAGGCAGCAGGCACGCAAAUUACCCACUUCCGGCACGGAGAGGUAGUGACAAAAAAUAACGAUACGGGACUCAUCCGAGGCCCCGUAAUCGGAAUGAGAACACUUUAAAUACUUUAACAAGUAUCAAUUGGAGGGCAAGUCUGGUGCCAGCAGCCGCGGUAAUUCCAGCUCCAAUAGCGUAUAUUAAAGUUGUUGCAGUUAAAAAGCUCGUAGUUGGUUCUGUGUGCCACACUGUUGGUUUACCGCCUGUCGGUGUAACUGACAUGUUGUGGGACGUCCUGCCGGUGGUAAUUGCAGACCUUAUGGUAUUGUUAAUUGCCUUUAAUUCUCAUUGCGGUGCUCUUUAUUGAGUGUCGAAGUGGGCCGGCACUUUUACCUUGAACAAAUUAGAGUGCUCAAGGCAAGCUAAAUAUUGCUUGAAUAUUAGUGCAUGGAAUAAUGGAACAGGACCUUGGUUCUAUUUUGUUGGUUUUCUGAAUCCAAGGUAAUGAUCAAUAUGGACGGUCGGGGGCAUUCGUAUUGCGGCGUUAGAGGUGAAAUUCUUGGAUCGUCGCAAGACGAACUAGAGCGAAAGCAUUUGCCAAGUACGUCUUAAUUGAUCAAGAACGAAAGUUAGAGGUUCGAAGGCGAUCAGAUACCGCCCUAGUUCUAACCAUAAACGAUGUCAGCCAGCGAUCCGUAGAGUUCUUUGAAUGACUCGACGGGCAGCUUCCGGGAAACCAAAGCUUUUGGGUUCUGGGGGAAGUAUGGUUGCAAAGCUGAAACUUAAAGGAAUUGACGGAAGGGCACCACCAGGAGUGGAGCCUGCGGCUUAAUUUGACUCAACACGGGAAACCUCACCAGGCCCAGACAUUGGAAGGAUUGACAGAUUGAUAGCUCUUUCUUGAUUCAGUGGGUAGUGGUGCAUGGCCGUUCUUAGUUGGUGGAACGAUUUGUCUGGUUAAUUCCGAUAACGAACGAGACUCUAGCCUACUAAAUAGACGUUAAGUAUAUACGUCUACUUACGAAGUUAAUCUUCUUAGAGGGACAAGCGGCUUUCAGCCGCACGAGAUUGAGCAAUAACAGGUCUGUGAUGCCCUUAGAUGUUCUGGGCCGCACGCGCGCUACACUGAAGGAAUCAGCGUGUAUUUCUCUGUCCGAAAGGACUGGGCAAUCCGUUGAACCUCCUUCGUGCUAGGAAUUGGGGCUUGCAAUUGUUCCCCAUGAACGAGGAAUUCCCAGUAAGCGUGAGUCAUAAGCUCGCGUUGAUUACGUCCCUGCCCUUUGUACACACCGCCCGUCGCUACUACCGAUUGAAUGAUUUAGUGAGGUCUUCAGACUGGUGGUAAUUGAACAUUGCCUUGUGUAGUGAUCAAUGUCGCCGGAAAGAUGACCAAACUUGAUCAUUUAGAGGAAGUAAAAGUCGUAACAAGGUUUCCGAGG